UAUCCGUAGGUGAACCUGCGGAAGGAUCAUUCAUAAUAAGUGUUUUAUGGCACUUUUUUAAAUCCAUAUCCACCUUGUGUGCAGUGUCAGGGUUGAUUUUUCUCUCGAGAGGAUCAACCCCAAACAUCAACUAUAUCUCAACUCUUUGUCUGAAAAAUAUUAUGAAUAAAACAAUUCAAAAUACAACUUUCAACAACGGAUCUCUUGGCUCUC
RNAcentral lists this unclassified non-coding RNA (213 nucleotides) under plant metagenome. RNAcentral's name for it is "partial contains small subunit ribosomal RNA, internal transcribed spacer 1, and 5.8S ribosomal RNA". The record is from RNAcentral.